GGCAGAGCCGUAUUUUCCCCAGCUGGUCAUCCCAUUGCCGAUCAAGUCCUUGGGUGAGCUUCUCACCUCCCUGCCCUGCUCUGAGACCCCUGUCACACCGACGAUCCCAGUCGUCCCAGAGAGCUUCUCUGCUUUCCCAAAAUUCAUCGAGCAGUCCGCUGUACGUGUAGCACUAAGGUGACACACACACCCCCCCCGAAGCAGGGGUGCUCUGCUCCAGCCUUCCUUGCUGGAAUUAAAAUACGCAGCCCUGGCCAACAUGGGUGGCUCCGGGAGCACUGAAGGACACCAAGCACUGAUGUCCUGAAUCGGUGGGAGGAUGAGGCAGUAAUGAACCCAGCUACACCCUGUAAAUUGCCAGGUGUAAUCACAGCCUUGCCUAAAAAUCUCUUAACCACAUGUAUUAUUUAUAGUCAUUGAUCUUAUUUCUGUCCCAGCUGUAUUUAAGUAUUGUUAGGGCACUGGCAACACCCACUGCAGGACAAAGCCGCUGCUAAUCCCACCUUGUGCUUUGGCCGCUGCCACUACAGACCAGAGGGAACGGCCUCAAGUUGUGCCAGGGGAGGUUCAGAGGCUUGAACCCGCCGGCCCUCCACGGGGGAUUGCUCCUGCAAAGCCCUGGAGCCAGCACGACGGGGAUGCAGCCCCAAAAGCCAAGAGCCGCAAGAUGAACUGCAAGCGCUGCGAAAACCUCCUCUGAAUUGCUGCAAGUUGGCCGGGCAGGAAAAUGCUCACUGCCUUCAUCUGGGGAGCACCCGAGGGACCAGGCUCUGGAGAAGAGCGGGCAGAGCCUGAGAGCCCUCCCUGGCAGGCGGCAGCACUUGCACAAGCUGCAGAUGCUGGAGCUGACCCGCCGGCGCCGAGAGGUAACGUGGGGAGGGCUCUGGGGAGAAGCCGAGGCUCCGCGGGGUUUUCCCAUCCUGGGGUCUCCCCCAUGGGCGAGGAGGUCUCAAUCCUGUGGCUGGGAAGUGUGGAUGAGGCUGGGGAGCAGCCCCAGGGUGGUGGGUGCACCCACACCUCCCCGCUGGGCUGGGGAAUGUCCCACACAUGUAGGAGAUGCUGGCACUGAGAGGCAGCCCCGGCUCCUGCUGAUGCCCUGCUCCCUGUCCCCAUGCCCACAGCCUUCCUCCCCUCCAGAGAUGCAGGAACACCCUCCUGCAGGCUCCUUC
This 1169-nucleotide long non-coding RNA is filed under the name Anser brachyrhynchus (Pink-footed goose). RNAcentral's name for it is "lncRNA (ENSABRG00000013085.1)". Lineage: Eukaryota; Metazoa; Chordata; Aves; Anseriformes; Anatidae. The record is from RNAcentral.